Molecule: long non-coding RNA, 985 nt
Organism: Haliotis rufescens (red abalone)
Lineage: Eukaryota; Metazoa; Mollusca; Gastropoda; Lepetellida; Haliotidae
Exons: 3
Source: RefSeq, a predicted model, not a curated record
UUUAUAUUCCACGGCCAAUGACAUUUAAUAGUUCUAGGUGUGGCGAUGUCUAACGUCACAACUGUCACAAAGGUCUCAAUCAAAAUAAGCAGCUGUUGCUUGAAGACGUCACUUGGAGACGCCACUUAGCCGAAGCCAGCCACAAAACAGUUAGCUGGAGUAGGACCUGCUGUGCAAAAGCCGACGUCUGGAUAUGCAUUUUCAUAGCAAGUUAGUGCUUCUGUGCCUAACUAUCUUGUGUUGGCCGUCGCUUGGUGUGUCCGCUAGAGGGCGCGAGCACUUGCAACUCUGGCAUGACAAAUAUGAGGAGCAUAUGAAGACUGUUGUUUCCAUAAACACUCUGUUCAGUCCGGUCAAGAAAAGCGGCGGACUCGUGGACAUACUGUUCAACAUGCCAGACCUAUGGCAAUUUGGGAAAAGAGCGCGACCAAUUAACAAACGACGGAAUGGUAUGAAGUGGUCUGGUGCUGUAUACAAACUGCCGGACAAAAGAAAGUAUACUGUCACCUAUGUUUGAUGGUGGCUAACAAAAAGAAAAAGGGACAACGUCUUAAUUAGGUAAUGCGAGGAUAUAUCUGCAAUAUCUUAAAUGAAAUUUCUUGUCACAUGUAAAAUAUAUCUUCAUUUGCAUUUUUAUAAAUUUGUUGUUUGUCAAGUUUGAUCAUUUGGUCCCCCAAAAUAGUUUCAGGGAAUAUGUCUAAAAGAAGCUUUGUGUUGGAUCAGGGAGAGCGUAUGAUACCCGAAACUGUAAGGGUGUGUGUGUAUUCCCCUAGUGAUUCAGAUAUCACAUAGAUUCUCGGAUAUCUCAGGGAUUACACACAUUCCCUUCUUAGACAUAUUCACUGCAAACUUCUGGUAUCAUAACUAUUUGAUAAUGAUUCAUAAGCACAUGCAUAUGAUAUAAUCCCAGUAAUAAACAUGCAUGUACGUACAAAGUUGCCAUGGGAGUAUUAUAACUAUAAUAAUAUGAGCGUUCCCUUGAGAA